CCUACGGGAGGCUGCAGUGGGGAAUAUUGGACAAUGGGCGAAAGCCUGAUCCAGCCAUGCCGCGUGUGUGAAGAAGGCCUUCGGGUUGUAAAGCACUUUCAGUGGGGAAGAAAGCCUUGGGGCUAAUACCCUCGAGGAAGGACAUCACCCACAGAAGAAGCACCGGCUAACUCCGUGCCAGCAGCCGCGGUAAUACGGAGGGUGCGAGCGUUAAUCGGAAUUACUGGGCGUAAAGCGCGCGUAGGCGGUCUGAUAAGCCGGUUGUGAAAGCCCCGGGCUCAACCUGGGAACGGCAUCCGUAACUGUCAGGCUAGAGUGCAGGAGAGGAAGGUAGAAUUCCCGGUGUAGCGGUGAAAUGCGUAGAGAUCGGGAGGAAUACCAGUGGCGAAGGCGGCCUUCUGGACUGACACUGACGCUGAGGUGCGAAAGCGUGGGUAGCAAACAGGAUUAGAUACCCCAGUAGUC
This 465-nucleotide ribosomal RNA is filed under the name Vreelandella stevensii. RNAcentral describes it as "partial 16S ribosomal RNA". It matches the Rfam family "Bacterial small subunit ribosomal RNA", at positions 338 to 795 of the family's 1533-position model. The record is from RNAcentral. Lineage: Bacteria; Pseudomonadati; Pseudomonadota; Gammaproteobacteria; Oceanospirillales; Halomonadaceae.